This 433-nucleotide ribosomal RNA is filed under the name uncultured bacterium. RNAcentral describes it as "partial 16S ribosomal RNA". It matches the Rfam family "Bacterial small subunit ribosomal RNA", at positions 29 to 507 of the family's 1533-position model. The record is from RNAcentral.
AACGAACGCUGGCGGCAGGCCUAACACAUGCAAGUCGAGCGCGCCCUUCGGGGUGAGCGGCGGACGGGGGAGUAACGCGUGGGAACGUGCCCUUUUCUACGGAAUAGCCUCGGGAAACUGAGAGUAAUACCGUAUACGCCCUUUGGGGGAAAGAUUUAUCGGAAAAGGAUCGGCCCGCGUUGGAUUAGGUAGUUGGUGGGGUAAUGGCCUACCAAGCCGACGAUCCAUAGCUGGUUUGAGAGGAUGAUCAGCCACACUGGGACUGAGACACGGCCCAGACUCCUACGGGAGGCAGCAGUGGGGAAUCUUAGACAAUGGGGGCAACCCUGAUCGAGCCAUGCCGCGUGAGUGAUGAAGGCCUUAGGGUUGUAAAGCUCUUUCAGCUGGGAAGAUAAUGACGGUACCAGCAGAAGAAGCCCCGGCUAACUCCGUG